AGUGAACGCUGGCGGUAGGCCUAACACAUGCAAGUCGAACGGCAGCACAGUAAGAGCUUGCUCUUACGGGUGGCGAGUGGCGGGCGGGUGAGGAAUACAUCCGAAUCUACUUUUUCGUGGGGGAUAACGUAGGGAAACUUACGCUAAUACCGCAUACGACCUACGGGUGAAAGCAGGGGAUCUUCGGCCCUUGCGCGAUUGAAUGAGCCGAUGUCGGAUUAGCUAGUUGGCGGGGUAAAGGCCCACCAAGGCGACGAUCCGUAGCUGGUCUGAGAGGAUGAUCAGCCACACUGGAACUGAGACACGGUCCAGACUCCUACGGGAGGCAGCAGUGGGGAAUAUUGGACAAUGGGCGCAAGCCUGAUCCAGCCAUACCGCGUGGGUGAAGAAGGCCUUCGGGUUGUAAAGCCCUUUUGUUGGGAAAGAAAAGCAGCAGGUUAAUACCCCGCUGUUCUGACGGUACCCAAAGAAUAAGCACCGGCUAACUUCGUG
This 492-nucleotide ribosomal RNA is filed under the name uncultured bacterium. Its description in RNAcentral is "partial 16S ribosomal RNA". It matches the Rfam family "Bacterial small subunit ribosomal RNA", at positions 29 to 507 of the family's 1533-position model. The record is from RNAcentral.